Schistocerca piceifrons (Central American locust) is the source of this 801-nucleotide long non-coding RNA. RefSeq lists it as uncharacterized. The transcript has 5 exons. The record is from RefSeq and is a predicted model, not a curated record. NCBI's taxonomy places the organism in Eukaryota, Metazoa, Arthropoda, Insecta, Orthoptera, Acrididae.
CGACGCACGCGCCGUCGCGGCUCGCGCUUUCCCUCUCGCUUUUACUUUUAUUUUCUGUUCUCCUCGCGGUGUUUCGUUUCCGUCCGUUUACGUUGUCUUUUGUUUUUGCAGCGGCGUCCCUCUCGCUCCAUCUCUGUCACACACCCCGCCGGCCUGCUGCGUGUUGUUAUUGUUGCCGUACCUUCCCGCCGCUACCUCUACCACCGCCACUGACGCAGCCGCUCGGUUUUGUAAACAAAAUAGCAGGUAUCAGAGGUAUACUCCGCCGUGUAGCUGCUCGCUCUCGCGCCCGGCUGUCCGUGUAAAUACGCUCCGCGGAGAAAACUGCGGGGUAAAAAAACAAUACGAAAUUGAACAAAACAGAAAAAAGACGACAAGGGAAAGUGCUUCAGCUGUGACCGACGAGAGAAAAAAAUAGAGAAGAAUAUUGUUAAGCCUGUGCUGUGUUGGAGCAAACCGCACAGGUGUUUUCGAGUGAAUGUGUUUCAGCAGUGUUUACUGAAUAAGCGUGUGGAAAUAUCAGUGCCUGUUCCUUCCUUCCUUCCUUCUACGAAUUCUUGCUACUGGGCAGUUGAUUUCAGAGAUACGCAACACGCAGCCAAAGGUUUCGCGUGACUGAGCUGCAGAAGAAGAAGAGGUCACCGGAAGGUUCGCGUGGACUGUUCAGCAUUGUUCCAGCAGCGGCAAAUAAUAGGAGCCCCUCCAACAAAAACUGACAAUAUCCAGUGUGAAGUCGCGUGUUCGUCUCCGCUGUGCUGUGCGCCGCUGCCACCUCGUCGUCCUGCUUCGUCGUCCGUCUGC